UUCUGUCACUCUUCUGCCAUCUGGGCACAGAACGAGCGCCAGGCUCCAGGGUGGCACCCUCCGGAAAUCUGCCACCCUCCUUCCCUCCUUCUGUAUUUACUUCAACGGCUUCCUGUCUGCUGAUUGGCGUUGCUAAGUAAGCCGCAAAAUUUCCAUUAAAAACACCACGGCAACGGCAGUCACGAGCCAAUGACGAGCCGGUACGGCAUAAAAAGUUCAGGAACGCCGCCAGGUCCUGCGAGGAGCGGCUCUGUUUUCCGUCCCGCUGUCUCCUGAUGUACGGCUGUGCACCAGGAUCUCAUCGGCUCAAGCAAUUUCCUUUUUUCUCCUUAAGCAAGCUAUUAAUAAAACAAGUCCAGAUAGUAAUGGUGCAGUUCGAGCGUUACUCAGCACAAGGCUUGAUUUAGAGUCCAGAAAGUGCACAGCUGAACUUCCUGGACGUAAUUUACAGCACGUCUCUCCUCAAAGAAACCACGCAGAGCUAUUCAUUCUGGUUUGCUGAGAUGUUUGAGUUAAAAAGACUCGUCCGCACGGAGGAGGUUGGAAAAAAAAUGCUGAAAAUGAAAACAUCUGGAAAUAUUUUGGAUUGGAGGUGUGGAGGAGCAGGACAUUUUCAGAAGCAGAUACGACUCUCGAAAGACCAGAGGGAAGGAUUUCUCCUAAAUGAGGGUUGCUUUGUGUUUUCAAAACAUGUCAGUAUGCGUUAGUUGUGUAGAGCACGCCUAGAUGUAGUCUUACAGGACCUCAUAAAGAACAGGAUCAUCUAAUUAACAUGACACCUUCAGGCUGAUUAAACCUCAGAGAAACGAUAUCCAUGCUCCAAUGUUCAAGAUUCCCGACAGAUCUCAAAGUCCAAUCACAGUGUGGAAUAUCUGUAAAUAGAAAACCAGACUCGGAGCUGGAAGCUGCUCAGCUGCUCGUAUCUGCUCAGUGGGUUGUAGUAACCUCGACGCCUGAUGCUGAUAAUAAAAUUCCCUUCUUUCAGCAGUUUUUUUAAAUGCUUUGGCAAGCAGCCAGCCCUGAUGCUGUGUUUUUAUAUGCUUCUGUACUUCAUACACACACACAUGCACAAUUCACAAAAAUACACACACUUCUGAAUAAACCACAUUAGGAAUUGUUUUACUGAUUCGCAUCAGUGCAUUGAAUAAAAGUUUGGAUCAAAAUACA
Molecule: long non-coding RNA, 1167 nt
Organism: Silurus meridionalis
Lineage: Eukaryota; Metazoa; Chordata; Actinopteri; Siluriformes; Siluridae
Exons: 2
Source: RefSeq, a predicted model, not a curated record